Long non-coding RNA from Eupeodes corollae, 1284 nucleotides. RefSeq lists it as uncharacterized. The transcript has 2 exons. NCBI's taxonomy places the organism in Eukaryota, Metazoa, Arthropoda, Insecta, Diptera, Syrphidae. The record is from RefSeq and is a predicted model, not a curated record.
UCGCUCUCGCAACCCGGAAAGUGAGUCCAGAGGCUGUCCAGGUUCCAUCAGGCUUUUUUAGAAAUGAAGAACUACAAUGUUCCUUCGAUAAAACUUUGCUUAGCCUUGCGGAGUCCUUUAUGUCUUCGAUUGAUUGACAGUUAAAUGGUUUCAUUACAUUAUUUGACGAAAAAAAAAACAAGAAUAAAAGCUAGAUAUUACUUUUUUUUCACCUUACCUUAUCUUAUCUUUGCUCGAAAGAUAACUCUAUGUUUAUAAACCGUUGAAGAUGUAACAACUCGAGAAAGUGAAUUUUUGUUUCUACUUAGAACACAUAUUAUCCCGACCUUGCACAUUUAAAUCUCGGGCCUUUCUAUUUUAUCAAAAAUCAAACGUUUUAAUGAACCAAUUUGCAUUCGCAACUACCUACGAUCUUAGGAGAGUAACCUUCUACUCCAUUUCUUCAUCCCACUAUGGUUCUUGAUAGCGCGCCGAUGUUAGUUUAGCAAAAUUCAAAUAUUUCCCAUUCAAUUUCAAAGAAUCAAUUUAAAUAUAAACAUUACUCAUUGAUCUAAUAAAAACUGACGUCAUCACCGAAACAAAACCAAAACAUCUGGCUACGAAGGCAGCAAUUUUUUGUUAGGUAAGUUUAUGACGAUACCCCAAAUCCAUAUUCCAAAGCCAAAACCAACAUAAGAAAAUGCAUUAAAAAUGUCGCUUGACUGACUGAAGACUAUGAAUGAAUGUUACACGAAUGAGUUGAAAUUGAUUACUUCUCGAUUCUCUUAAUCCAAACAUUAAUUAAGCAGUUAAACAUUAAUAAUAUUAGGAAGAAUGAUUUUGGAUUAGAAUGAGGUCAAAAGAAAUGCAGAUAAUUAUGCUUACUGGACGAUGGGUGGCAUAAUUUCAAUAAUAAAUUUAUUGACACUUUCAACUUAAAAUAAAUUCCUCUUGAAGAAUUCUUCACUGUAAAUUAUUGAUGAUGAUGUGAUACUUGCUAGAAGAUGUCGACGAAGACACAACACACAACGAGUACGAGAUACGACAACGACGACGACAACGACCAAGCCUCUCCCUAAUUUGGAUGAAGGCGGAUAGAAAUUCUGUUUAAGUUUUUUUCUUUCUUACGAAGUGGUUCUAUUUUUUGAGAAUUAAAUUGAUCAAGUGUAAGAAUAGAAUUAUAAAACUUUUUUGUAAUAAUUUAAUAAAUUUUCACUGGAUUUUUUAUUUACCUUUAAUUUAAAGAAUUGUAAUUAAAACAUAAGUAAUUUAUGAUUUAAAAUAAAAAUUAAAAACUAAAUCGUU